RNAcentral lists this ribosomal RNA (400 nucleotides) under uncultured bacterium. Its description in RNAcentral is "bacterial SSU rRNA". It matches the Rfam family "Bacterial small subunit ribosomal RNA", at positions 355 to 769 of the family's 1533-position model. The record is from RNAcentral.
UAGGGAAUAUUGCACAAUGGAGGAAACUCUGAUGCAGCGACGCCGCGUGAGCGAUGAAGGCCUUCGGGUCGUAAAGCUCUGUUGCAGGGGAAUAAGACAGUGAAUGUACCCUGUGAGGAAGGAUCGGCUAACUUCGUGCCAGCAGCCGCGGUAAGACGAGGGAUCCAAGCGUUGUUCGGAAUCAUUGGGCGUAAAGCGGGCGUAGGUGGCUCUAAAAGUUAGAUGUGAAAUCCCAAGGCUCAACCUUGGACCUGCAUUUAAUACUGUAGAGCUUGAGUGCGAGAGAGGCUGUUAGAAUUCCUGGUGUAGUGGUGAAAUACGUAGAUAUCAGGAGGAAUACCGGUGGCGAAGGCGGACAGCUGGCUCGACACUGACACUCAUGCCCGAAAGCGUGGGGAUC